GAUUCCUUAAACGGAUAACUGCGGUAAUUCUGGAGCCAAUACGUGCUAAAAAGCCGACGUAGCAAUACGGCGGUUGCACUUAUCGGAGCAAAAUCAAUCUUGAUUCGAUGCUAACUCUGGAUAACCAAGCUUAUCGCAUGGCGCAAGCCGGCGAAGUAACAUUCGAGUAUCUGCCCUAUCAUCUAUCGUAGGUAGUGUAUUGGACUACCCAGGAUGUAACGGGUAACGGAGAAUCAGGGUUCGACUCCGGAGAGGGAGCCUUAGAAACGGCUACCAUCGCUAAGGCGAGCAGCAGGCGCGCAACUUAUCCACUGUCCACUCGGACGAGAUAGUGACGAGAAAUAACAAGUUCGUUCUCUUUGAGGUCGAGCAUUGGAAUGGACCGAAUGUAAACGAUUCGGUGAGUACCCACGAGAGGGCAAGUCUGGUGCCAGCAGCCGCGGUAAUUCCAGCU
RNAcentral lists this ribosomal RNA (454 nucleotides) under Nematoda environmental sample. RNAcentral's name for it is "SSU rRNA". It matches the Rfam family "Eukaryotic small subunit ribosomal RNA", at positions 129 to 590 of the family's 1831-position model. The record is from RNAcentral. Lineage: Eukaryota; Metazoa; Nematoda.